This 212-nucleotide unclassified non-coding RNA is filed under the name Ascomycota sp. RNAcentral describes it as "partial contains small subunit ribosomal RNA, internal transcribed spacer 1, and 5.8S ribosomal RNA". The stretch from base 1 to 47 matches the Rfam family "Eukaryotic small subunit ribosomal RNA", at positions 1785 to 1831 of the family's 1831-position model. The record is from RNAcentral. Lineage: Eukaryota; Fungi; Ascomycota.
AAAGUCGUAACAAGGUCUCCGUUGGUGAACCAGCGGAGGGAUCAUUACCGAGUUUACAACUCCCAAACCCCUGUGAACAUACCUAUUGUCGCCUCGGCGGUGCCUGUUCCGACAGCCCGCCAGAGGACCCCAAACCCUGAUUACAUUAAAGAAUUCUUCUGAGUAACCGAUUAAAUAAAUCAAAACUUUCAACAACGGAUCUCUUGGUUCUG